UACGGGGGGAGCAAGCGUUGUUCGGAUUUACUGGGCGUAAAGGGUGCGCAGGCGGCCAAGUGUGUGAGGCGUGAAAGCCCGGGGCUUAACCCCGGAAUUGCACCUCAAACUACAUGGCUAGAGCAUUGGAGAGGGUAGCAGAAUUCAUGGUGUAGCAGUGAAAUGCGUAGAUAUCAUGAGGAAUACCAGAGGCGAAGGCGGCUACCUGGACAAUUGCUGACGCUCAGGCACGAAAGCGUGGGGAGCAAAAGGG
RNAcentral lists this ribosomal RNA (253 nucleotides) under uncultured bacterium. RNAcentral's name for it is "partial 16S ribosomal RNA". It matches the Rfam family "Bacterial small subunit ribosomal RNA", at positions 524 to 776 of the family's 1533-position model. The record is from RNAcentral.